This 353-nucleotide unclassified non-coding RNA is filed under the name soil metagenome. RNAcentral's name for it is "partial contains 5.8S ribosomal RNA, internal transcribed spacer 2, and large subunit ribosomal RNA". The stretch from base 1 to 120 matches the Rfam family "5.8S ribosomal RNA", at positions 35 to 154 of the family's 154-position model. The record is from RNAcentral.
GAUGAAGAACGCAGCGAAAUGCGAUAAGUAAUGUGAAUUGCAGAAUUCAGUGAAUCAUCGAAUCUUUGAACGCACAUUGCGCCCGCCAGUAUUCUGGCGGGCAUGCCUGUUCGAGCGUCAUUACAACCCUCAGGCCCCCGGGCCUGGCGUUGGGGAUCGGCGGAAGCCCCCUGCGGGCACAACGCCGUCCCCCAAAUACAGUGGCGGUCCCGCCGCAGCUUCCAUUGCGUAGUAGCUAACACCUCGCAACUGGAGAGCGGUGCGGCCACGCCGUAAAACACCCAACUUCUGAAUGUUGACCUCGAAUCAGGUAGGAAUACCCGCUGAACUUAAGCAUAUCAAUAAGCGGAGGA